Molecule: RNA transcript, 1223 nt
Organism: Syzygium oleosum
Lineage: Eukaryota; Viridiplantae; Streptophyta; Magnoliopsida; Myrtales; Myrtaceae
Gene name: biogenesis of lysosome-related organelles complex 1 subunit 2-like
Exons: 4
Source: RefSeq, a predicted model, not a curated record
GGCUCGCUCGGAUGAACAGAAGCUUUUCCGUUUCUCGUCGAAGCGCCAGUGGGUUGGGACGAUCCAAAGCGAACGACGAAGAAGAAGGCGAAUGGCGAUGGAACGAGACGCGCUCGCCGAGUCGCUCAACGAUCUCUUCCUCAACCUAUCCACCAUGGUCAAAUCCGAGCUCCAGGGCGCGAACAAUCAUCUGGAGCUGCUGGAGAAGAUGAACCUGAGGGUGGGUGAGGAGUACAAGGAGUUCGGCGACGUGGCGUCGGGGCUGAGGGUGUUCGUGGAGCAGCUCAAGUCCAAGAGCGGGAGCUUCGACGAGUACGUGCGGCAGAUCGAGGCGAUCGAGGAUCAGGUGACGCACUUCGAGUCCGUGGUCUCCAUGCUCGACAAGUACGUGUCCCAGUUGGAAUCCAAAGUGCAUUAUGAAUGGACUAUGUAAACAAGUGAAUUCCUGCCUCCCUGUCUUAUAAAAGCAUCAGAAUGUCAGCUGCUCCACAGAUCAAGGAUGCAAUUGAUCUUCCCGAUGAAAUAGAUCGGUUAAGUUAAAAAAAUCGAAAAACACGGUCUAGUUGCUCGAGGCACAAAGACUGGGUGGGAUGCAGUCUGCUCUGCUGUUAUUGCCCCGAUGGUGCUGUAAUAUACCAGUGCAAGUUUGGUUAGAAGUGAAGGCAUCAUGUUGCUCCAUAUCACUUAAUCUGAGAGCAAUUUUUAUGGGUAAGACCCUUAUCAGCUAUUUCCUCAAUUGCGGUUUUGAACCAUGCAUAGGAAAUGAUGACAUUUGAUUGAAUGAGUGCACACAUGGUGUAGGCGAAACAGGUCACUCUGAAUUUGCUUGCAUAGCAAUCAAAUAUAGGAUGUCUCGACUCGUGUGCUGAAGUCUCCUACGGAUCAAAGUGUUUACGGAAACUUUUGUUGGAUGACGAGAGACUCGCGCAUUUGAUGGACUGAUCAUCAUGAGCAGAUUCAGGCUUUAGAUGGAAGUUCUAAUUCUAAUGAUGGUGGUGGAUUUUGACAGCUUUUUGGCUGUUCCAUCUUGUAUCUUCUCUGUUCCAGUUUUUGAAUCAUCAGACCACAUAAACUGGUUUUUUUCAUUCCAUUUGCCCCUUCAAAGCAGCUUGGCGAUGUAAUAUCAGGGGAUCAGCUAUACUUUUUCGAGGAGUGGCUUAGUCAAUUGCCUGUGGAACCUGAAAAUUAACUAAGAAAGGUAGUUCUCAGAUUUUUAGAUGAAA